GAAACGAACACAGCAAUUCAGGAGCGAGGACGGGGGACCCACCAUCUCCCCGUGAGACCCGGCGGACGAGCAAUCGACCGCCUUGGGGUUAAGUCCGCGGCUAGGCACACGCCGAACCCGCCGGCCGGGCACCUCUCGCCCGAACCCGACAGCUCACCUCGUAGGCGCGUGGAGAGAGGAAAA
RNAcentral lists this small RNA (183 nucleotides) under Gordonia malaquae. RNAcentral describes it as "c-di-AMP sequence". It matches the Rfam family "c-di-AMP riboswitch aptamer (ydaO/yuaA leader)". Rfam says of the family: This family represents a conserved RNA structure found upstream of the ydaO and yuaA genes in Bacillus subtilis and related genes in other bacteria. The record is from RNAcentral. Lineage: Bacteria; Bacillati; Actinomycetota; Actinomycetes; Mycobacteriales; Gordoniaceae.